UAAAAUUUAACUCAUUUUUAAACAAACUUUAUGAAGAACGUUGGAGCAAAUUCGGAUAUUCAUUUGGUGCUUUUUGAUGAAGAAAACAGGGCAGUUGGUUUUCACUCGAAAUCAGGAGGUCUCUGGUUUUUCUUGUAUUUCAGAGUGUAUCGGUGGAGUUAGAAUUUCUAUUUGGAACAAGUUAAAGAGGUCGUGUGCGCGCGAUUCUGGAAGUGGUUCUGUUUUGAGGGUUAUAUGUGUUUAUGCACGGGGAAUCAGAUUUAUAUGUCUUCAGGCCGAGAAGAAUUAAACCGAGCUUAUAGACCAAGGAUCUAGCCCAAGACUGUGAGUGACAAAACCAACUUUGAAAUAUUUUCCAUAACUGUUAUUAUGAUUGAAUGCGAUAAAUGUUUAUUUAUGAAGCCAUGAAAGGUAUUUGAAUUUCAUGACUAUUUUCAAGUAUACAUUUGGAGACUAGAUUUCUUAAAGAAAUUUAUGCUAGCACGUAGAUAUUAAAUGUUUGGAAAGUAUUUAAACCACAAUAUUUUAAGCAAAGCAUGAAUUAGUAUGAAGUUUUGUUUUAAGAACUACAAUUUUCCACGAAAGAGCUGAGUAAAGUUCGAGCUUUGUGUAAAAUUUAUAAGCAGGCAUGUUUUAAUAUUUUAUGAUGAUUUAUGAAAUUUUCAUUAACUACAUGACUAAGAUCUUGAGCCUGAGGCUAGAGAUUACCGUGUGCACACUGGUUAGAUUUUGUUGUUGACGUUGAGUGUACUCCGUAACAACGAUGCUGUCGUGAGUGCUGGGCGGGCCCCACUACGACAAAGACGAUGGGAGUGCUGGGCGGGCCCCACUACAUCGUAGUGCUUGUAAACGUUGUUGUACUAGGUGUACCCUACACAACGUAGAUUCGUCAUGUUAGUUAAAAUGCUUCGAUAUACUUGAUAUGCCUUGCUAGAUUUCAAUGAUGAACAUGCUGAGUAUUUAAGGAAGCUAUUCUUACUAUUACACAUUUACAUUUACGACUUGUAUAAAUAGAUUUAUAUGUGUAAAGUUUUCACGUGCUCUUAUCUUUAAAUUCAUAGUUUUAAACUGAGUCACUCACUGAGCUUCAUAGCUCACCCUUUCCAAAAUGUUUUACCCAUUUUCCAGGUAGAGAUCGACUUCCCGGUGCCUGAUAGACUGCCUUAGUCUGCGGAAGCUUCAUUAUCGAUUGCCAGUACGUGUUUUGAGUUGGGCAUAAAGUCUGUUGUGUUGUGAUGUAUUCACACCCUUGUAUGUUAUAGAUACUCCACAGUUUGUAUAAGCUUUAGGAGCUGUAGUUGUGUAAAUUUUGUUGGUUAUAUUUUGAUUAAGGUGUCUUUAGGUUUACUCGUGAAAUCGGUAAAUUUUGAGGUACACUUCAUGUAUGUGUUUGACUAGCUGUGUUUGACUAGCCUAGGAUCCGCUGUGUUUUGUGGCAUGUACAAUAGUUUAUAUACUAGAUUGGCAAGUUCAUCACAUGAAAGUUUUAAGCAGAGUCGACAGAUACAGGUACAGAAAAACGUUGUUCGUCGGCUUCACGCCAUCUUUCGAUCUAAGGUAGCAGGUAGUCCGGGAGGGGGUGUGACAACUUGGUAUCAGAGCAGUUUGCUCCAUGGGAAUUAAGGAGUCAUGCCACCACGUACUGGUAGACGACGCCGGCAGAAUCAGGACGGGAUGCAAGGUCCUACCCAAGGUCCAUCUGUAGGGGAAUCUAGUACCCUAGGAGUUCGAGGUGGUGCAGGAAACGAGCAGUUUGCGAGAACAACACAGAAAAUAGGAAGGCCAGAUAGAGCAGAGCCUAGUGAUCCAGAAAAGGCAUAUGGAAUUGAACGGCUGAAGAAGUUAGGGGCUACAGUGUUUGAAGGUUCCACAGAUCCAGCUGAUGCAGAGAACUGGUUGAAUAUGCUUGAAAAGUGUUUUGAUGUGAUGAAUUGUCCUGAGGAGCGAAAGGUUAGAUUGGCCACAUUUUUGUUGCAAAAAGAGGCUGAAGGAUGGUGGAAAUCUAUAUUAGCAAGACGCAGUGAUGCACGUGCUUUAGACUGGCAGACUUUUAGAGGCAUAUUCGAAGAUAAGUAUUAUCCCAGCCAACUCUUCACUUGUAGAGCUUUCUUCGGACCAGCCACUCUUCAACUUCCGACUAGAGGAGCUGUAGUCAACUUUACCUUUUCCUUUGCAAUCUUUUGUAGAAGCAUCUCUUUGUUCUGGGAUGUCAAAUAAUUCAUUGUACAUCUCAACUGACUCCCAUGUAAAAGUAUCAUCUUUUGAAUGAUAUGACUCAUAUGAUUCCCAUA
This is an RNA transcript of Cucumis melo (muskmelon), 2291 nucleotides long. RefSeq lists it as uncharacterized. NCBI's taxonomy places the organism in Eukaryota, Viridiplantae, Streptophyta, Magnoliopsida, Cucurbitales, Cucurbitaceae. The record is from RefSeq and is a predicted model, not a curated record. The transcript has 4 exons.